AGCGGCCGCGGUAAUUCCAGCUCCAAUAGCGUAUAUUAAAGUUGUUGCAGUUAAAAAGCCCGUAGUUGAAUUUCGGGGUUAGCAGGUCGGUCGUGCCAUCGGUAUGAACUGGUCUCGCUGAUCCCUCCCUCUUGACGAACUGUGAUGCCAUUAAUUUGGUGUCGCAGGGAAUCAGGACUGUUACUUUGAAAAAUUAGAGUGUUUAAAGCAGGCUCACGCUUGAAUACAUUAGCAUGGAAUAAUGAAAUAGGACGUUCGAUCCUAUUUUGUUGGUUUCUAGGAUUGACGUAAUGAUUAAUAGGGAUAGUUGGGGGCAUUAGUAUUCAAUUGUCAGAGGUGAAAUUCUUGGAUUUAUUGAAGACUAACUACUGCGAAAGCAUUUGCCAAGGAUGUUUUCAUUAAUCAAGAACGAAAGUUAGGGGAUCGAAGACGAUCAGAUACCGUCGUAGUCUUAACCAUAAACUAUGCCGACUAGGGAUCGGAUGAUGUUAAUUUUUUAAUGUACUCAUUUCGGCGUACC
This 520-nucleotide ribosomal RNA is filed under the name uncultured Glomus. Its description in RNAcentral is "SSU rRNA". It matches the Rfam family "Eukaryotic small subunit ribosomal RNA", at positions 569 to 1087 of the family's 1831-position model. Lineage: Eukaryota; Fungi; Glomeromycota; Glomeromycetes; Glomerales; Glomeraceae. The record is from RNAcentral.